GGAGAAGUAAAGCCAUGCUCUUCUGCUGACAAACCUCAGGGUUUUUCCCUCUAACUGCUACAGUGAGACAAAGAGGGCAUGAAAAAAUAAGCUAUGUGGAAAAGGUCUUCCAGCAUGCGGCUCCUAACUGAUUAAAAUCAUGACUGCUGAGAAGUAAAGCUGAGAAGAAAUAAAACGAAAGGAUGACCGACACACGAGGGAUGUGAAAUUAAAAUUUAAUAAUUGAGUCAAAUCAUAAGUAGCUGUGAUGCUUGCGCGUGAAUAGAUGCUCUGUGUGUGUGCAUGUAUCAUAACUCCAGUCCCGGACUUCUCUUUCUCCGUGGCAGAAUUGUGUUAUUACACAAUGGCAACACUGGAAGAAGCCAUAGAGGUCAUUUUGUUCAACCCCCACAUUUUGCCAAGGAAAGACUGAAAGCCAGACAGACAGAGACUUGUCUGCUUUUUGACUUCUUUUUCUUUGCUUUUGAAUCUUUUCCCAUCAGCCGCAUAUCAACCAAUGAUCAAAUAAGAUUAUUCAGGCUGGGGUCAUUCUAUUCCUUAUUCUUAUUGACCAUUACAAUCUCUCCCUUUAAUUCCUUUCCUUCCUAUCUCAUCUUUAACACUGUUAAUCCAUUUCUUUCAUGAUUUGCCUCUGCCUGAUUUUUCUUUUAUAGAUAAACUGAGUCAUCAGCAAGCAUUUUGCUGGAAGUCAGCCUUGUUAAAUGUCCAGUCUAUUUAAGUGACUUUCUAUUCUAUCCUAUCUGCUGGAUCACAGGUUUUUGUUGAUCAAACUUUCUUAUCAUGUCAAGUGUUAAUCUUCUUUUAGUGAUAGAGAAAGUGCCAAAUGAAAGUACUUUGGAAAAUGAAUACAUUGACCUGUCAUUUCACAGUCCUCACGCAACCAAAGUCCUACUUGCCCUAUAGGUAGGUACAUUUCUAACUGAGAAUGUGAAGGCCAUGUACAAAGACUCCUGAGUCUCAGAAGUCUUGCAAUCCUCAAAAAGAAUUUUUUGAAAACAUGGCAGGCCUGGCUAUUUUACUAUGGUGAAAUAUAUCACUAUGGUGAAAUAUAUCACUAUGGUGAAAUAUUACUAUAGUCAUUGCACUAUAGGCAAUCAACCCAAACUUGGUAUAAAACAUUAUGGUAGCUAAUAUUCAUUUAGUGCUUACAGUGUGCUAAGUAUUAUUUUAAGCACACUACACAGAUUAUCUAAUUUAAUCAUCUGAGUUAUGUGCGGUUAUUGUUCCUAUAUCAUGUAUAGGAAAAUGUGGGCACCAAGCGGUUAGGCCACUUGCCCCAAACCCAGAGGGAAUAAACAGUGGAGCCAGGAUUUAGAGAGUUAGGUGGAGUCUAGUCUCCUAACCCCUCUGCCAAACCACCUCUGAUAUGGGGGUUAACAUGAGUCAAUCCACACCCACACCUUGUAUGUGGAAAGAGCGUCUUUGAAGGCCAUGCCCUGUGGAUAAGUGGAGACACCAUAGUUUCAGGCUCCAAUAAGCACAUACAACAGUCUAUAUGGCACCUGAAGCAGGUAGGUGCCUUCCUUGUCUUGUAAAAACCCAAAGGAAAAUAUUCUAAUGCCUCAGAACCUUCUGGCUGGCUCCACCAUUCAGCAACGCUGUCAGGAAGAGUAGCUCUUACACGGCCCUCACAACUUUAGAUCCACUUUAUGAUAAACUGGCUAAUGAUUAGAAAGAAGUGCAUCUCAGAACUAUCGGCCUAACUUAGAUGACACAGACUUCUGGAUCAGGUCUUGCCUUUCCCUGACUUUUUUGAAGUCUAGAGUCUCAUUUUGCAAUGGUUCAGAAUUGGAACUGGACCACCUGCCUGAGGCUGCUUGGGCUGCCCACACAGCUUGUAAAAACUGUAUGUAAACAUGAAAUGCAGCUGCAAAACAAACUUAGUUUUCCUCACAGGAAGUUAUCCCCCUAAGGAAUCAGGAUUAGUGUGACAGGCUUGUGCAAACUGCUCAAAUGAGGGUCAUCUUUGGCCAAGUAGUCCACCAUGUUGGAGUGUACGCUAAUCAAAGUGAGGGUGGAAGUUUUCAUCCAUUUCUACACUUUUAAGCACCUCUUUAGAAAUGCUUUUCAACCCAUUUCUCCAGCAACUGCCUGUCUUACUAGCACCCGAUCCAUAUUUCCAACGGGGACUAAAGCAAAACAUAUUUUCUUCCCUAUGUUACUAAAGGGCACCAGCAUCCACCAAGUUACAGAAGCC
RNAcentral lists this long non-coding RNA (2197 nucleotides) under Homo sapiens (human). RNAcentral describes it as "HSALNT0374614". Lineage: Eukaryota; Metazoa; Chordata; Mammalia; Primates; Hominidae. The record is from RNAcentral.